Molecule: ribosomal RNA, 606 nt
Filed under: Salmonella enterica subsp. enterica serovar Infantis
Lineage: Bacteria; Pseudomonadati; Pseudomonadota; Gammaproteobacteria; Enterobacterales; Enterobacteriaceae
Description: partial 23S ribosomal RNA
Source: RNAcentral
UUAGUGGAAGCGUCUGGAAAGGCGCGCGAUACAGGGUGACAGCCCCGUACACAAAAGCGCAUGUGCUGUGAGCUCGAUGAGUAGGGCGGGACACGUGGUAUCCUGUCUGAAUAUGGGGGGACCAUCCUCCAAGGCUAAAUACUCCUGACUGACCGAUAGUGAACCAGUACCGUGAGGGAAAGGCGAAAAGAACCCCGGCGAGGGGAGUGAAAAAGAACCUGAAACCGUGUACGUACAAGCAGUGGGAGCACAGGUUUACCUGUGUGACUGCGUACCUUUUGUAUAAUGGGUCAGCGACUUAUAUUCUGUAGCAAGGUUAACCGAAUAGGGGAGCCGGAGGGAAACCGAGUCUUAAYYGGGCGUUAAGUUGCAGGGUAUAGACCCGAAACCCGGUGAUCUAGCCAUGGGCAGGUUGAAGGUUGGGUAACACUAACUGGAGGACCGAACCGACUAAUGUUGAAAAAUUAGCGGAUGACCUGUGGCUGGGGGUGAAAGGCCAAUCAAACCGGGAGAUAGCUGGUUCUCCCCGAAAGCUAUUUAGGUAGCGCCUCGUGAAUUCAUCUCCGGGGGUAGAGCACUGUUUCGGCUAGGGGGCCAUCCCGGCUU